This 249-nucleotide ribosomal RNA is filed under the name Triticum aestivum (bread wheat). RNAcentral describes it as "partial small subunit ribosomal RNA". Lineage: Eukaryota; Viridiplantae; Streptophyta; Magnoliopsida; Poales; Poaceae. The record is from RNAcentral.
CUCUCCCCGACGGGGCGGCUGGUUCUCAUCAACGCCGUGUUGGACGCCAUCCCAACCUAUGCCAUGGGCGCGCUCAAGCUGCCCCCCAAGGUGGUGCGCGCGCUGGACUCCCUCCGUCGCUCGUUCCUCUGGAACGCGGCCGAGCGAGCUUCCGGUGCGCAAUGUCUCAUCGCCUGGGAGCUAGUGUGUCGCGGCAAGGUGGCCUGGGGGUCCGAGACCUCGCCACGUAAAAUGACGCCCUCCUUCUGA